Molecule: ribosomal RNA, 551 nt
Filed under: uncultured bacterium
Lineage: Bacteria
Description: bacterial SSU rRNA
Rfam family: Bacterial small subunit ribosomal RNA
Source: RNAcentral
AGCUAAUAGAUACCCUGGUAGUCCACGCCGUAAACGAUGGGCACUAGGUCCUUGGGGGAGCGACCCCGUGAGGGCCGGCGCUAAACGCAUGAAGUGCCCCGCCUGGGGAGUACGGCCGCAAGGCUGAAACUCAAAGGAAUUGACGGGGGCCCGCACAAGCGGUGGAGCAUGUGGUUUAAAUUCGACGCAACGCGAAGAACCUUACCUGGGCUUGACAUGCAGGGGACCGCUGGGGGAAACCCCGGCUUCUCUUCGGAGCUCCUGCACAGGUGCUGCAUGGCUGUCGUCAGCUCGUGUCGUGAGAUGUUGGGUUAAGUCCCGCAACGAGCGCAACCCUUGUCCCUAGUUACCAGCGGGUAAAGCCGGGAACUCUAGGGAGACUGCCGGUGCCAAACCGGAGGAAGGUGAGGAUGACGUCAAGUCAUCAUGGUCCUUACGUCCAGGGCUACACACGUGCUACAAUGGGCGGGACAGCGGGUCGCAAGUCCGCAAGGAGGAGCCAAUCCUUCAAACCCGCCCUCAGUUCGGAUUGUCGUCUGCAACUCGACGGC